Molecule: ribosomal RNA, 500 nt
Filed under: uncultured bacterium
Lineage: Bacteria
Description: bacterial SSU rRNA
Rfam family: Bacterial small subunit ribosomal RNA
Source: RNAcentral
GAUGAACGCUAGCGGCAGGCCUAAUACAUGCAAGACGAACGGUAAGUUGAGUAGCAAUACUUAGCCAAGAGUGUCGUACGGGUGCGUAACACGUAUGCAACCUACCCUAUACAGGAGGAUAGCCUAGGGAAACCUGGAUUAACCCUUCAUAGUAUUAUUGGAUGGCAUCAUUUGAUAAUUAAAACUGAGGUGGUAUAGGAUGGGCAUGCGUCUGAUUAGUUAGUUGGCGGGGUAAUGGCCCACCAAGACGAUGAUCAGUAGGGGUUCUGAGAGGAAGAUCCCCCACACUGGCACUGAGAUACGGGCCAGACUCCUACGGGAGGCAGCAGUAGGGAAUAUUGGUCAAUGGAUGCAAGUCUGAACCAGCCAUGCCGCGUGCAGGAAGAAGGCCUUCUGGGUUGUAAACUGCUUUGCCAGGGGAUAAAAUUUCCAUGCGUGGAAAACUGAAGGUACCUGGUGAAUAAGCCACGGCUAACUACGUGCCAGCAGCCGCGGUAAUC